AUGGCGCAGCCGUCGCAGGAGGCGAUCGAAACUUUCAUCAGCAUCACCGGCGCCGACGAGGCCGUCGCUGCCCGCAAGCUCGAGGAGCAUAGCGGUGACCUAAAUGAAGCGGUUAAUGCAUACUUCAAUGAAGGAGAUAGAUCCACCACCAGAAUCAAUCAGAAUCCUAUACCUGACAGUCAUGAUGAUAUUAUGGAUCUGGACGAACCAUUUGAUCCUAUGUUUACCCGAUCUAUGGGCAACCCUUUUGGUAUUUUGGACCCAAGUUUUGUUGAGAGAGCCGCUGCUGGUUUCUUUGGUCAGGGACCUCAGGUUACACAUCCCAGGGAUGUGCGGCAGAUACCUAUUGAAGUUAAAGACACUGAUAAUCCUCAAAUUGGAAGUUCUGGUCAGGGUCCUGUUAUUGAAGAUGUUACUGGACGUGAGUCUUUAUAUGGUCUGGAGGUUCAUGGGACUGUUGUCAUUGAUGAGGAUGAUGAUGACUUGCCAUCUACCCAUGCUCCUGUUAUCCCAAGAAAUACUCCAAGCACAUACAAUUCUGCACCAAGUGCUCCUCCAUUGGUGGAUGUUAGUGACUAUAACAAUGACAUAGAAGAGGAGAUGAUCCGUGCAGCAAUUGAAGCGUCAAAAAGGGAUGCGGAAGGACUUACAAAUGUAGCAGAGCGAGAGAGAGUUCUACUUCAAGAGGGAAUGCAUGCAGUUGAUAAUUCUUCUGAUUUAUCUGAUAAGGAGGACAUUGAAGGAGCAAGUGAGGCAGUUGAAAGGCAAGUACUAACCACAGGGCAAGCUGGAACUUCUAGGCAAUUGGUUGAUGAAGAGAACUUCCAAGACGAUAUUGAAGAUGUUGACGAAGAACCUUUAGUUAGACAACGUUCCAGGCGUGUUCUAUCUGGAACUGCCGGGCCAACAGAAGCAGUGCAAAGGGCUGAGAGUCCUCCCUCAGGCCCUCAGCCUCAUGGUACUGAAAAUGCUCACCAGCAUAAUGGAGCUUUCCCCUCAGAGUGGGGAGGCAUUUCUUCUGAAGAGCACGAUGAAGCUGUUAUGCUUGAGGCUGCUAUGUUUGGUGGGAUUCCUGAACACACAGAAUAUCCAUUUCCCCUCCCAUCUCAUGGAAUCUCAACUGGUUAUCCCCGAGUAGCACAUCCUCCAUCACCAACAUUAACUGCACAGAGGUUGUUAAGGGAGCAGCAGGAUGAUGAGUAUCUUGCAGCCCUCCAAGCUGAUAGAGAAAAAGAGUUGAAGGCUGUGGAGGAUGCUGAGCUCCGUAGAUUAGAAGAAGUUGCUGCAAGAGAAGCUGCUAUUGAAAUGGAAAAGCAAAAGAACGAGGAAAAGCUGAGAAAACAACUUGAGGAAGAGGUACUUCAGUUGGAGUUGGAGUCCAUGCUUGCAGCCAAGCGAGCUUCAUUACCAAAGGAGCCACUGCCAAAUUCUGAAGGAGCCGUCACAGUUGUAGUUCGCAUGCCUGAUGGCAGUCGCCAGGGAAGGCGCUUUUUGAAAUCUGAUCAGCUCCAGGUUCUUUUUGAUUUCAUUGACAUCAGCAAGUCAUUCAAGCCAGGAACCUAUAGACUGGUGAGGUCUUACCCCAGGCGUGCAUUCACCGACGAGGAGUGUCAGAUGUCGUUGAGUGAUGUGGGCCUCAGCAGCAAACAGGAGGCCUUGUUUCUAGAACAAAUUUCAGGAUAG
RNAcentral lists this ribosomal RNA (1683 nucleotides) under Triticum aestivum (bread wheat). RNAcentral describes it as "partial small subunit ribosomal RNA". Lineage: Eukaryota; Viridiplantae; Streptophyta; Magnoliopsida; Poales; Poaceae. The record is from RNAcentral.